Molecule: non-coding RNA, 26 nt
Filed under: Homo sapiens (human)
Lineage: Eukaryota; Metazoa; Chordata; Mammalia; Primates; Hominidae
Source: RNAcentral
UCUUGACCGCACCCUGAAGAUUUGGG